GGUCGCGUGGCCUAAUGGCAAGGCGUCAGUUUUCGGUAUCCGCUUUGGAUGUCAUACACUGAAGAUUGCGAGUUCGAUCCUCGUCGCGAUCA
Molecule: non-coding RNA, 92 nt
Organism: Orbilia brochopaga
Lineage: Eukaryota; Fungi; Ascomycota; Orbiliomycetes; Orbiliales; Orbiliaceae
Source: the annotation of a GenBank genome assembly